UACGUAGGGGGCGAGCGUUGUCCGGAUUUAUUGGGCGUAAAGAGCGUGUAGGCGGCCAUACAGGUCAGCUGUGAAAACUCGAGGCUCAACCUCGAGACGUCGGUUGAAACCGUAUGGCUAGAGUCCGGAAGAGGAGAGUGGAAUUCCCGGUGUAGCGGUGAAAUGCGCAGAUAUCGGGAGGAACACCAGUGGCGAAGGCGGUUGCCUGGAGCUUUGCUGACGCUGAGGCGCGAAAGCGUGGGGAGCAAACAGG
RNAcentral lists this ribosomal RNA (253 nucleotides) under uncultured bacterium. RNAcentral's name for it is "partial 16S ribosomal RNA". It matches the Rfam family "Bacterial small subunit ribosomal RNA", at positions 524 to 776 of the family's 1533-position model. The record is from RNAcentral.